Molecule: long non-coding RNA, 2581 nt
Organism: Alligator mississippiensis (American alligator)
Lineage: Eukaryota; Metazoa; Chordata; Crocodylia; Alligatoridae
Exons: 2
Source: RefSeq, a predicted model, not a curated record
CCGCCGCCCCCCGCAGGCGAGCGCUACCGCGCGGGGCUGUGCGCCGUGGCUGCCCGCUUCCUGGAGGCGCUGCGCGCGGAGCCCGCCGCCUUCUGGUGCUUCUCGGCCUGUCUGCGGCGCUGGGCGCCCUCGCUGCGCCCCCCCGGCGCCGCCCGCCUCGCGCGUGAGCCCCCCGCCCCGCCCCUGCCCCCGGGCUGGGAUCAGCCCCGGCCCCCCCCGAGCCCAGCCCGGGUCCGACCCCUGUGCCGCAGGCCGCGCCGCGGAGCUGCUGCACCACGCGGACCCCGAGCUGCACCGGCACCUGUGCGGGCUGAGCGCCGAGCCGCUGCUCUUCUGCCUCGGGUGCGGCUCCCCCCUCCCUGUGCCCCGCACUCCCGGCCGCGGGGCUCGAACCCGCGGCCUGCCGGGCGCCGCCGCCCCCUGGCGGCCAGAGGCGGCGGGGCACGGCCUGAGCCGGGAUCGGGGCCGCCCCCAGGUGGCUGCAGCUGCGCUUCCAGAGCGACCUGGACCACGAGGACGGGCUGCGAGUGCUGGAGCUGAGCGCCCUGGAGGGCCGGGCCGGGCAGCCCGGGGGAGGUGCGGCUCUGCCCCCCCUGCCCCCACCCUGCCGGCACCCAAGGGAGGGGGUCUCUGAUCCCCAGGGCUCCCCACAGGUGCAGAUGCCCCUGGGGACGGGGCCACCAUCGCACUGCUGCUCUGCGUGGCCCUCCUGAUCCGGCACCGACAGCAUCUGCUCUGCUGCCGGGGCGCCCACGACCUGGUCCUCUUCGCCCAGAGGCUGCAGGGGAAGGUGGCACUGGGCCGGGAACUGGGUCCCCUGGAGUCACCGGGCGAGUUGCAAUGAAGUUCUGCUGUGCCAGGAGCAGGAGCCGUCCUUGUCUCUGCGGCCACAAGCCCCUGCCCCCACUCCCCCCCAUUUGCCAGCCUUGAGCCACUGGGGGGGGGGGGGGGGGGGAGUGGGUGAGCCCUGGAGGCUGCAGGUUGGGCGUGAGGGGCACUGGUGGUCAGGGGGGAGGAGCCACCAGGUCCAGCCAGUUCACACAAUGGCAGGAUCUGGAUCAGGCCCAGGCUGCCUGCAGCAGGGGGCACUCAGGGCAGGCCUGCGCGUACCAGUGAUGGGGUGAUUAAAGAACCCAGGCAUCAUCCCCUCCCACACCCCCAGCAGGGGACAGGCAAUGAGCACAGGCCGCAGAUGGAAAAGUCACCGUUUAUUGCCCCGGGGGGGGGGCAGGGGGGCCUCACACGUCAGUUUUAUGGACAGGAAAAAAUUCCCCUAGUUUAAAAACACCUAUGUUAAAAAAACAGCAAGGGCGGGGGAUGAGGACUGGGGGGAGGGGAUGGGGGGGACACAGGAGACAGGGCAGGGGGCAGAGACGAUGCCCGCCCAGGGGGGGAGUGACCCUGGGCUGUGCCAGGCUCCCCAUGGCCAGAGCAGCUGCCAGCCUGGGGUGGGGGCAGGGGGGUGGGGCGCACAGGUACAGACUGGGGGGCAGGGGGAACUUGCCUCCAGGGAUGUGGAUGCAGACAGGACAGCCGUACGGAGGCACCGGAGCCGAGGCCCCCAUGGGGGCCUGGGGCAGAGGGAUGAAGGCCCCAGGAGGAAGACAGAGGCUGUGGGGCACUGGGGAAGCUUGGAGAGCUGGGCAGUAGGGAGCUAAGCCCAGCGGGCAUCAUUCCCCAGCUGCUUCCACCUAGGCUGGUGCCCCCGGCCCUGCAGGGGCAACACGCGGACGGGACAUUUGUGGCCUGGAAAACAGAGCCGGGUCUCACAGUGCCCAGAGGCUGUCCCCUGCUCCCUCCCUUGGCCUGUCAGGACCCACACCCCCCCCGCCCCGGGGUGAACACUGACGCAGGCGUGCACACGUGGGUGAGGUGGGUGGUAGUGGGAGGGCAGGGGCAGGCACGCGGGCUCAGUGAUUCAGGCUGGGAGCUUGGAGGGAUGUGGCUCCAUCCCUGGCCCAGUGGGGGUUUGGCAUAUGGUGCCCCACAUCCCUGCGGGGUCGACACUUCCCUGGGCUCCAGCCCCUACUGCUCCCCCUACCCACCUUCCUCUGCGGGGCUAAUACUUGGCCUGCCUGCAGCAGCCUUCCCCCAGGAAGGGGUGGGGAGGAAAGCUAGACCUCCUGGGGGAGCCGGCACAGGUCAGGGAUGCAGAAAGGGGGCAAGGGCAGCUCCAGACCUGCCGGGCCAGGCCCUCUAGGGUAAGCAGCCAGGCAUGGGCUCUCCCCACUGUGGUUUGGGGCUGGCCAAUGAAGUAAUGUCAGCAGGGAAGGAUGGCACGGAGCAAGUGGGGGCAACAACUGCCCCAUUAACUUCCCUGCUCCAGACACUGACCAGCUUCCCUGGGGCACCAGUGCCAGGGCCGAGUGAGACCCAGGGCAGGGGCUGGACUAGAUGACCUCCUAGGGGGUCCGGCAGCUCUGGGUCUCCAUGCUCCGGCCUGAGAUCAGCCACAGGGAGGAAUCCAGUGCCUGGUCACACGCUGUCCCCUGCAGAGGGACAGGACCAUACAGGGAGGAGGGAAGGACGGACAAGAAGCCCCCAUCCCCCAGUUAAAAGAGCCUUUGGGGCAAAGGCUUUC